GGUGUGUAAAAGCUUAGGUGUCGAGGUGGCGCGUGAUCUUUUUUUGCACGUGAUCAACAGACGUAAUUAAGCGAGCCCCAGCCGUAAACGUACUCAACGGACUCAACCUACUGUGAACAGGACCUACAUACACCCCAAAGGCUCUUUUCAGAGCCAUUUUACCAAGCAUCUUUGCAUCUUUGUACAUAGUGCCGGUUUUCCUUCAGUAGUGCCAGUUUUCCUGAGAUUUUACCUCGUCCUCCACUGCCUCCAGCAAUUCCUGGUUUUAAGGGUUCCCCAAAUCUUACCCUGGAGGGCCGGAGCACUGCAGAGUUUAGCUCCAACGCUGAUCAAACACACCUGAGCAAGCUAAUCAAGGUCUUCAUGAUCACUAGAAAAUCACAGGUGGAGUUAUGGAGUAAAGAUGCAACGGAGCAGCUGAUAAGAAAACAUGCUUAAGACCAUCUUAAACGUGCACCAUCAAGAAAGGGAGGGGUACACAAUAAACAUUUUUUUUAAAUAGAUGCACUUUUAAUUUUUAAAGUAUAUAUCGUCGCUGUCCGAUGAAAACCACGCAUGUCCAUUUUGCUGAUUUUUAGAUUUUUCGACAGAUUGAAUGUCCAGGUUCAUUUCCGUAUACAGUAUGCGUCACAUACCUAAAUGGCCAAUGAAAAGUUGUGAAAUCAUGUCAUCUGAUUUUCACGUAUAUCCAUUUGGUGUCAAAGCUGUCAAUCACGCCGCAUAUCUUCCGCCUGUGAAGCAUCUCGCCGGUCUCGUAAAGUUUCAUCGAAGCUCAGGACUGGAUAUAGCGAAGAAACAUGAAAAUGACUUUCCUUCAUCGAGGUAAACGUUUCCCACGGACGCCAGACGAACAUCUAGGAGUGACUUAAUUACGGUAGGACUUUGCAAACAAAGUAUCUGUCUAGCAUUGGUGUUGUUAUUUACGCUGGGGACAUCCCACCGCUUUUUGAAGGCGUUUGGUUAAAAUGUUCUGAAAAACCAAGCGAUGCUUAAGACAGGUUUUGUGGUCUAGUGUCACGUAUGUUGCGUUGUAUGCUUAUGGUGUGUUUUCUUGUACAUAUUAGGGGUGGCACGGUUCAUGAAAAAAAUCCGAACCGUUCGGUUCGCUUGUCUCGGUUCGGAGCGCGUGUGUGUCGUACGGUUCAACGGUUCAUGGCAUGCGCAAUGUAUGUAGCCUCGUGCCCUGUAUGUGACCUCAGAUAGCGCGUUCCCCUUUCGCGAAUAGCGCGAAAGAAGAGGCGACUGGUGUGGAGAGUGAGUGCUGCCGGUCAUGUUACGUGUAGAAAUGGCAAGAGGGAGAGAAAAAGGAGUCUGCCCGCAGUUGGAGGAUGCGCCAGCGUCGUGUAAGUUUGGUGUGUGGAAACAUUUUUUUAUUUCAUGUUACCUAUGAUGACAGCGGAAAUAAAACAAUAGAUAAAACUGCAGUCUAUGGGUUGAAUGUGUUCGAACAGCCACACGCAACAGCCUUCUCUCCGACCAUUUAUCUAAUCUGAGGUAAUGAACACUGUUUUACGUCUUUUCGUAUUCAGGGCUAUUUUUAGCCUUUCGUUGAUAAAACGAAAGCGGCUGAUUUCCGCGUAGUUUCAUUUUGCUAGCGUGUGAAAGUUGCGCGAUCUUAUUUCAUAAACUGCCCCUUAAAGUAAUCAGGACAGAAAUGGUCAAAAGUGGACAAAAGAGACAGAUUUAAAUAUUACAGGUGUAAACGUUAUGUUUCUCUCUCUCGUUCACAUAUUCUCUCUGCAGUAUUUAAGCAGCCUCUCAGUGAUAAAUCUUAAAGCUACACUGAAGUUGGCAUUUGGAUAAAUGCAAGUUAUCUUUGUGUGCUAAAAAUGCACACAAAGUUCAUGUAGAUGGCAAUACACAUUCUCUUUUUUGUCAAAUAAAUGAAAAGCAUGAUGAAAUCAUCAAUGUCUUCCCUCUCGCUGUGUCAAAAUCUCGCCUGGCUUUCCUCAGGGAUGUUCCCAAUAAUGUGCUUAAAGUCAAAUUCAGUUUGAUUACAUGAUAUAACUUUUUUUAAUACUGUAUCCUAAACUAUGGAUAAUUAAUACAUUAAUAAGAUAAUACGUUUCUGGAGUGUUAAAAAAAAUAACAACAAGAACCGUACUGAACCGAGAACCGUGACCAUAGAACCGUGAUACGAACCAAACCGAGGGUUUUGUGAACCGUGCCACCCCUAGUACAUAUGUAAUGAAAUUCAUUGUAAUCAUUGACUAAAAGCGCUGCUGUUUUCUACGCUAUGGUGCUUUGGCACUGUUCGGUUAAGCUGGUGUUGCAGGGACUUACAGUUGUGUAGUCGACAUUGUUGAGGGUUUAUAGCUGAGUAUUUUCUUGUUGUUGACUAGCCUAUGCUAUGCCCAUUUUUGAUGCGCCAUUAUUCAAUAUUUUUCCCGUCCUGCAGUAAUGUUUUUAUCUGAUCUUUUGUCCCCACCACUUUUCAACACAAACUGACGCCCCUGCUGUCUAGCAUUACCAUGUCAGUGUAUUGAUUCAUUACUUCAUAGUUCGCAAGAGACAUUUAAUAAAUGUAUAAUUAAUAUUAAAUAAAGUAAGCGUAUUUAACUAAGACGUAGGCUAUUUAAUGAACUGAGCGUAUUCAUCUGUCAAUACGAAACGCGACUUGGCUAUUCUAAUUAAUGAUCGGAAGAACGCGUAUCGAUCACAGUUACUGUAAAAUAUGCACGUAUGUCCAUUUAAACUCAAUUUUGGUCAAAUGUGGAUUAUAUCAUUACACUGGCAAGAAUAUGGUUACAUGUAAAUAUGCCGCACCAAGUAUGACAACGCUACAUUCAACUGCUUUUGAUAUACAGUGCUUUUUUCACUUCCUGAAAAGUAACCGUUUUGGACAUACGUGAGUUUCAUCGGGCAGCGACGAUAUAUUGUUUAUUUAUGUUGUUUUUAAAUGUUAUAAUUGUAUUGUUUUUAUUUGUUGUAUUUAGCUUUUAUGCAUUUGUACACACACAAACACACACACACAACCACAUUUAUACAAAAUAAGUUUUGAAUAAAUACGUUUAAUGGAGUGCAAAGUGUGAGUCUUUAUUUAGCUAAAUGAUGUCUAAAAUGAGUCUGCAGUUGACGUUAUAAGACGUUGAAAAUAUGUCCACAAUGACCACAUUUCAACUAAAUUUGGACCUUAAAAAGACGUCCUAUGGACGUCAUUAUUGGACGUCCAAAAGACGUCAGAAAAAGACGUCGGAAAACCUUUCAUUCUGCACCCUGAUGGGGACGUCUUUUCAACGUCUUUAUUGGACGUCCAAAAGACGUCAGAAAAAGACGUCGGAAAACCUUUCAUUCUGCACCCUGAUGGGGACGUCUUUUCAACGUCUUUAUUGGACGUCCAAAAGACGUCAGAAAAAGACGUCGGAAAACCUUUCAUUCUGCACCCUGAUGGGGACGUCUUUUCAACGUCUUUAUUGGACGUCCAAAAGACGUCAGAAAAAGACGUCGGAAAACCUUUCAUUCUGCACCCUGAUGGGGACGUCUUUUCAACGUCCGACAAAGACGUUGAAAAGACGUCUUUUGGACAUACUUUUGCUC
Non-coding RNA from Misgurnus anguillicaudatus (oriental weatherfish), 3537 nucleotides. The record is from RefSeq and is a predicted model, not a curated record. Lineage: Eukaryota; Metazoa; Chordata; Actinopteri; Cypriniformes; Cobitidae.